Molecule: long non-coding RNA, 450 nt
Organism: Cavia porcellus (domestic guinea pig)
Lineage: Eukaryota; Metazoa; Chordata; Mammalia; Rodentia; Caviidae
Exons: 2
Source: RefSeq, a predicted model, not a curated record
CAGAGGCUGGAGGAAGAACAGUACAUGGUCACAGGAACUUGCUCCAGGGGCCGAAGUGUCUGGCCAAGGAGAUGAAGAUUGGCCUGCGCAGCCAUGCAGCCAGGUCCACUGUGUGCUCGUCAUCCUGUCCUACUCUGGCCACCUCUGCUCUCUAGCACUUUCUGCAGGUCUGUUUAUCAGCAUUUUGACAAUGAGGAGGAGGAACAGCACCGCUGGAAGAGGAGAAUGCAGCCAGUUUCAGGGGGCUCUGGACGUCAUCCUUAAGGCCUUCACCUACCACUCCAAAUACCAGAAGGAACGGGGACCCUCUUUAUCCUUGUUCCUUGUCUACAGAUUUCACAAACAAUAGAACAAAAAGAUUAUAUUAAAUAGUUGUGUCUGUACUCAACAUGUGCAGACUUUUUCACUUCAUUAUUUCCUAAACAAUAAAAUACAACUAUUUGCAUAAUA